CGUGCAGGAUGAAGGCCUUCGGGUUGUAAACUGCUUUUGUACGGAACGAAAAGGUUUGGCCUAAUAAGCUGAGCUCAUGACGGUACCGUAAGAAUAAGCACCGGCUAACUACGUGCCAGCAGCCGCGGUAAUACGUAGGGUGCGAGCGUUAAUCGGAAUUACUGGGCGUAAAGCGUGCGCAGGCGGUUAUGUAAGACAGAUGUGAAAUCCCCGGGCUCAACCUGGGAACUGCAUUAGUGACUGCAUAGCUGGAGUACGGCAGAGGGGGAUGGAAUUCCGCGUGUAGCAGUGAAAUGCGUAGAUAUGCGGAGGAACACCGAUGGCGAAGGCAAUCCCCUGGGCCUGUACUGACGCUCAUGCACGAAAGCGUGGGGAGCAAACAGGAUUAGAUACCCUGGUAGUCCACGCCCUAAACGAUGUCAACUGGUUGUUGGGUCUUCACUGACUCAGUAACGAAGCUAA
RNAcentral lists this ribosomal RNA (462 nucleotides) under Curvibacter sp. RNAcentral's name for it is "bacterial SSU rRNA". It matches the Rfam family "Bacterial small subunit ribosomal RNA", at positions 400 to 855 of the family's 1533-position model. Lineage: Bacteria; Pseudomonadati; Pseudomonadota; Betaproteobacteria; Burkholderiales; Comamonadaceae. The record is from RNAcentral.